GACGAACGCUGGCGGCGCGCCUAACACAUGCAAGUCGAACGAGAGAGAGGGAGCUUGCUUCCUUGAUCGAGUGGCGAACGGGUGAGUAACGCGUGAGGAACCUGCCUCAAAGAGGGGGACAACAGUUGGAAACGACUGCUAAUACCGCAUAAGCCCACGACCCGGCAUCGGGAAGAGGGAAAAGGAGCAAUCCGCUUUGAGAUGGCCUCGCGUCCGAUUAGCUAGUUGGUGAGGUAACGGCCCACCAAGGCAACGAUCGGUAGCCGGACUGAGAGGUUGAACGGCCACAUUGGGACUGAGGCACGGCCCAGACUCCUACGGGAGGCAGCAGUGGGGAAUAUUGCACAAUGGGGGAAACCCUGAUGCAGCGACGCCGCGUGGAGGAAGAAGGUCUUCGGAUUGUAAACUCCUGUUGUUGAGGAAGAUAAUGACG
Molecule: ribosomal RNA, 433 nt
Filed under: uncultured bacterium
Lineage: Bacteria
Description: bacterial SSU rRNA
Rfam family: Bacterial small subunit ribosomal RNA
Source: RNAcentral